This 577-nucleotide ribosomal RNA is filed under the name uncultured bacterium. Its description in RNAcentral is "bacterial SSU rRNA". It matches the Rfam family "Bacterial small subunit ribosomal RNA", at positions 102 to 677 of the family's 1533-position model. The record is from RNAcentral.
ACGGGUGAGGAACACGUAGGGACCUACCCUCGAGUGGGGGAUAACCAAGGGAAACUUUGGCUAAUACCGCAUGAAUUCGAGAGAAGAAAGCUGCCACGCAAGUGGUAGCGCUAGAGGAGGGGCCUGCGUCCGAUUAGCUAGUUGGAGAGGUAAAGGCUCACCAAGGCGAUGAUCGGUAACUGGUCUGAGAGGACGACCAGUCACACUGGGACUGAGACACGGCCCAGACUCCUACGGGAGGCAGCAGUGGGGAAUAUUGGACAAUGGGGGCAACCCUGAUCCAGCGAUGCCGCGUGGGUGAAGAAGGCCUUCGGGUUGUAAAGCCCUUUAGGUUGGGAAGAAGUGUGUUGACUGAAUAAGUUAACACAUUGACGGUACCGACAGAAUAAGCACCGGCAAACUCUGUGCCAGCAGCCGCGGUAAUACAGAGGGUGCGAGCGUUAAUCGGAGUUACUGGGCGUAAAGGGCGCGUAGGCGGUUAGUAAAGUGUGAUGUGAAAGCCCCGGGCUUAACCUGGGAAGUGCAUCGCAAACAGACUAACUGGAGUAUAAGAGAGGGUGGCGGAAUUUCCGGUGUA